CACACCGCCCGUCACACCAUGGGAGUGGGUUUCACCAGUAAGUAGUUAGCCUAACCGCAAGGAGGGCGACUAACCACGGUGAGACUUCAUGACUGGGGUG
RNAcentral lists this ribosomal RNA (100 nucleotides) under uncultured bacterium. Its description in RNAcentral is "partial 16S ribosomal RNA". The record is from RNAcentral.